GAGUUUGAUCCUGGCUCAGGAUGAACGCUGGCGGCGCGCCUAACACAUGCAAGUCGAACGGAGCUGAGAGAAGCUUGCUUUUCUUAGCUUAGUGGCGAACGGGUGAGUAACGCGUGAGUAACCUGCCCUGGAGUGGGGGACAACAGUUGGAAACGACUGCUAAUACCGCAUAAGCCCACGAUCCGGCAUCGGAUUGAGGGAAAAGGAUUUAUUCGCUUCAGGAUGGACUCGCGUCCAAUUAGCUAGUUGGUGAGGUAACGGCCCACCAAGGCGACGAUUGGUAGCCGGACUGAGAGGUUGAACGGCCACAUUGGGACUGAGACACGGCCCAGACUCCUACGGGAGGCAGCAGUGGGGGAUAUUGCACAAUGGGGGAAACCCUGAUGCAGCGACGCCGCGUGGAGGAAGAAGGUUUUCGGAUUGUAAACUCCUGUCGUUAGGGACGAUAAUGACGGUACCUAACAAGAAAGCACCGGCUAACUACGUGCCAGCAGCCGCGGUAAUAC
This 506-nucleotide ribosomal RNA is filed under the name uncultured bacterium. RNAcentral's name for it is "bacterial SSU rRNA". It matches the Rfam family "Bacterial small subunit ribosomal RNA", at positions 9 to 526 of the family's 1533-position model. The record is from RNAcentral.